Molecule: non-coding RNA, 89 nt
Organism: Pleurotus pulmonarius
Lineage: Eukaryota; Fungi; Basidiomycota; Agaricomycetes; Agaricales; Pleurotaceae
Source: the annotation of a GenBank genome assembly
UCUCUGCUAGUAUAUCGGUUAGUACACGCGCCUGUCAUUCCGAUUCUCAGUGGUCGCGCGAAAGCUGGGUUCGACUCCCAGGCGGAGAG